CACAUUAAACAGUUGGUGUGGAGCUGAGAUAAAGUCCAGUCAUUUCUGCUUGACAUUUAGCUCUGGGUCCAGCCAGCACUAUUAGCUCUAGUCCACUUAACCAUGUCUACAACCGUUAACUCACAAUUACACCUGACCUAACGGCCCAGCGCCGGACAGCAUCUGGCAGGAGUUGAAGUCUGGUUUUCUGAUUAACCAAAUAACAGUGGGGUGAAGUCUGGCAUAGAACAUCAUCAGUACAUAAUGUACUAGCUGGCUUGUUGUGACAUUAUCUUCAUAACCCAAAUGACAAUCAUUUAUUAAAGACAUCAUUUUACAUGACAACAUCAAAACAUCUGGGAAUAAUGUCAUGUUGCAAUGGUCGUUAUGAGUAUGGUACUUUAAUCAGAAUUCAAGUGGUGUAACUAUUCCAAUGGAUAAAAUGAUACAGAGGGGUUCCAUAAACAGGAAGUAGUAUUAUACAGUACAGGAAGUAGUAUUAUACAGUACAGAGAGGUUCCAUAAACAGGAAGUAGUAUUAUACAGUACAGAGGGGUUCCAUAAACAGGAAGUAGUAUUAUACAGUACAGAGAGGUUCCAUAAACAGGAAGUAGUAUUAUACAGUACAGAGAGGUUCCAUAAACAGGAAGUAGUAUUAUACCGUACAGAGAGAUUCCAUAAACAGGAAGUAGUAUUAUACAGUACAGAGAGGUUCCAUAUACAGGAAGUAGUAUUAUACAGUACAGAGGGGUUCCAUAAACAGGAAGUAGUAUUAUACAGUACAGAGAGGUUCCAUAAACAGGAAGUAGUAUUAUACAGUACAGAGGGGUUCCAUAAACAGGACGUAGUAAAAUACAGUACAGAGGGGUUCCAUAAACAGGAAGUAGUAUUAUACAGUACAGAGAGGUUCCAUAUACAGGAAGUAGUAUUAUACAGUACAGAGGUUCCAUAAACAGGAAGUAGUAAAAUAUAGUACAAAGGAGUUCCAUAAACAGGAAGUAGUAUUAUACAGUACAGAGAGGUUCCAUAUACAGGAAGUAGUAUUAUACAGUACAGAGGGGUUCCAUAAACAGGAAGUAGUAUUAUACAGUACAGGAAGUAGUAUUAUACAGUACAGAGAGGUUCCAUAAACAGGAAGUAGUAUUAUACAGUACAGAGAGGUUCCAUAAACAGGAAGUAGUAUUAUACAGUAUAGUCUAACAUCUGAACUCUCUCACUGAGGUUUGUGCCUUUAAUGUACCAGGUAUCCCUCCCUAAACCCUCCAUAGACCCUCCAUACCCUCCAUAUACCCUUCCAUAGACCCUCCAUAGACCCUCCAUAGACCCUCCAUAGACACUACUGUAAUGUCCUCUAUCAGAAUACAUCAACCAUCCAUAGACCCUCCAUAGACCCUCCAUAGAUAUACCCUCCAUCCAUAGACCCUCCAUAGACCCUCCAUAGACCCUCCAUAGACACUACUGUAAUGUCCUCUAUCAGAAUACAUCAACCAUCCAUAGACCCUCCAUAGACCCUCCAUAUACCAUCCAUAGACCCUCCAUAGAUCCUCCAUAGACCCUCCAUAGACCCUCCAUAGACCCUCCAUAGACCCUCCAUAUACCCUCCAUAGACCCUCCAUAGACCAUCCAUAGACCCUCCAUAGACACUACUGUAACCCUCUAUCAGAAUACAUCAACCAUCCAUAGACCCUCCAUAGACCCUCCAUAGACCCUCCAUAUACCAUCCAUAGACCCUCCAUAGACCAUCCAUAUACCCUCCAUAGACCCUCCAUAGACCCUCCAUAGACCCUCCAUAUACCCUCCAUAGACCCUCCAUAGACCCUCC
Molecule: long non-coding RNA, 1801 nt
Organism: Oncorhynchus tshawytscha (Chinook salmon)
Lineage: Eukaryota; Metazoa; Chordata; Actinopteri; Salmoniformes; Salmonidae
Source: Ensembl